ACGCUAGCUACAGGCUUAACACAUGCAAGUCGUGGGGCAGCGGAUGCUUAGCUUGCUAAGUAUGCCGGCGACCGGCGCACGGGUGAGUAACGCGUACCGAACCUGCCCAUCACACAGGGAUAGGCUUGCGAAAGCAAGAUUAAUACCUGAUGGUCUCAGUUGUAUGCAUGUAUGAUUGAGUAAAGCCUUCGGGCGGUGAUGGAUGGCGGUGCGUCCCAUUAGGAAGUUGGCGGGGUAACGGCCCACCAAUCCUUCGAUGGGUAGGGGUUCUGAGAGGAAGGUCCCCCACAUUGGAACUGAGAUACGGUCCAAACUCCUACGGGAGGCAGCAGUGAGGAAUAUUGGUCAAUGGGCGAGAGCCUGAACCAGCCAAGUAGCGUGCGGGAUGAAGGCCCUUGUGGUCGUAAACCGCUUUUAUCAGUGAAUAAAGUGCAUCACGUGUGGUGUCAUUGCAGGUAGCUGAAGGAAAAGGACCGGCUAAUUCCGUGCCAGCAGCCGCGGUAAUACGGAAGGUCCGGGCGUUAUCCGGAACUAUUGGGUUUAAAGGGAGCGCAGGCGGGAGUAUAAGUCAGCUGUUAAAUAUCAGAGCCCAACUCUGUUAUGCAGUUGAAACUAUAUUUCUUGAGUACGCACAGGGAUGGCGGAAUUCAGGGUGUAGCGGUGAAAUGCUUAGAUAUCCUGAAGAACUCCGAUCGCGAAGGCAGCCAUCCGGAGCGUAACUGACGCUGAGGCUCGAAGGUGCGGGUAUCGAACAGGAUUAGAUACCCUGGUAGUCCGCACGGUAAACGAUGAAUACUCGCAGUUCGGUCAUUAUGAUUGAGUUGUCCAGCGAAAGCGUUAAGUAUUCCACCUGGGGAGUACGCCGGCAACGGUGAAACUCAAAGGAAUAGACGGGGGCCCGC
Molecule: ribosomal RNA, 902 nt
Filed under: uncultured bacterium
Lineage: Bacteria
Description: bacterial SSU rRNA
Rfam family: Bacterial small subunit ribosomal RNA
Source: RNAcentral